RNAcentral lists this ribosomal RNA (1070 nucleotides) under Salmonella enterica subsp. enterica serovar Ohio. RNAcentral describes it as "partial 23S ribosomal RNA". It matches the Rfam family "Bacterial large subunit ribosomal RNA", at positions 1186 to 2215 of the family's 2925-position model. Lineage: Bacteria; Pseudomonadati; Pseudomonadota; Gammaproteobacteria; Enterobacterales; Enterobacteriaceae. The record is from RNAcentral.
UUGACGGAGCGAAGCGACGUCAAAGCGUAUACAAAGUCGAGUCGGUUUAAGGAUACGUUCGUUGGGUAGGGGAGCGUUCUGUAAGCCUGUGAAGGUGGCCUGUGAGGGUUGCUGGAGGUAUCAGAAGUGCGAAUGCUGACAUAAGUAACGAUAAAGCGGGUGAAAAGCCCGCUCGCCGGAAGACCAAGGGUUCCUGUCCAACGUUAAUCGGGGCAGGGUGAGUCGACCCCUAAGGCGAGGCCGAAAGGCGUAGUCGAUGGGAAACGGGUUAAUAUUCCCGUACUUGGUGUUACUGCGAAGGGGGGACGGAGAAGGCUAUGUUGGCCGGGCGACGGUUGUCCCGGUUUAAGCGUGUAGGUGUGUGUUCCAGGUAAAUCCGGUUCACUUUAACACUGAGGCGUGACGACGAGGCACUACGGUGCUGAAGCAACAAAUGCCCUGCUUCCAGGAAAAGCCUCUAAGCAUCAGGUAACAUCAAAUCGUACCCCAAACCGACACAGGUGGUCAGGUAGAGAAUACCAAGGCGCUUGAGAGAACUCGGGUGAAGGAACUAGGCAAAAUGGUGCCGUAACUUCGGGAGAAGGCACGCUGACACGUAGGUGAAGUGAUUUACUCAUGGAGCUGAAGUCAGUCGAAGAUACCAGCUGGCUGCAACUGUUUAUUAAAAACACAGCACUGUGCAAACACGAAAGUGGACGUAUACGGUGUGACGCCUGCCCGGUGCCGGAAGGUUAAUUGAUGGGGUCAGCGCAAGCGAAGCUCCUGAUCGAAGCCCCGGUAAACGGCGGCCGUAACUAUAACGGUCCUAAGGUAGCGAAAUUCCUUGUCGGGUAAGUUCCGACCUGCACGAAUGGCGUAAUGAUGGCCAGGCUGUCUCCACCCGAGACUCAGUGAAAUUGAACUCGCUGUGAAGAUGCAGUGUACCCGCGGCAAGACGGAAAGACCCCGUGAACCUUUACUAUAGCUUGACACUGAACAUUGAGCCUUGAUGUGUAGGAUAGGUGGGAGGCUUUGAAGUGUGGACGCCAGUCUGCAUGGAGCCGACCUUGAAAUACCACCCUUUAAUGUUU